Molecule: small RNA, 19 nt
Filed under: Arabidopsis thaliana (thale cress)
Lineage: Eukaryota; Viridiplantae; Streptophyta; Magnoliopsida; Brassicales; Brassicaceae
Description: ATSL065920
Source: RNAcentral
GUUUUUUUCUUCUUCUUAU